RNAcentral lists this transfer RNA (67 nucleotides) under chicken gut metagenome. It matches the Rfam family "tRNA". Rfam says of the family: Transfer RNA (tRNA) molecules are approximately 80 nucleotides in length. Their secondary structure includes four short double-helical elements and three loops (D, anti-codon, and T loops). The record is from RNAcentral.
CGGGUAUAGUUCAAUGGUAGAACGAGAGCUUCCCAAGCUUUUAAUGCGGGUUCGAUUCCCGUUGCCC